GACGAACGCUGGCGGCGUGCUUAACACAUGCAAGUCGAACGGAAAGGCCCUGCUUUUGUGGGGUGCUCGAGUGGCGAACGGGUGAGUAACACGGGAGUAACCUGCCCUUGACUUUGGGAUAACUUCAGGAAACUGGGGCUAAUACCGGAUAGGAGAUCCUGCUGCAUGGUGGGGGUUGGAAAGUUUCGGCGGUUUGGGAUGGACUCGCGGCUUAUCAGCUUGUUGGUGGGGUAGUGGCUUACCAAGGCUUUGGCGGGUAGCCGGCCUGAGAGGGUGACCGGCCACAUUGGGCCUGAGGUACGGCCCAGACUCCUACGGGCGGCAGCAGUGGGGAAUCUUGCACAAUGGGCGGAAGCCUGAUGCAGCAACGCCGCGUGCGUGAUGCCGGCCUUCGGUUUGUAAACCGCUUUCGCCUGUGACGAAGCGUGAGUGACGGUAAUUGGUAAAGAAGCACCGGCUAACUACGUG
Molecule: ribosomal RNA, 468 nt
Filed under: uncultured bacterium
Lineage: Bacteria
Description: partial 16S ribosomal RNA
Rfam family: Bacterial small subunit ribosomal RNA
Source: RNAcentral